RNAcentral lists this long non-coding RNA (2435 nucleotides) under Nicotiana tabacum (common tobacco). RNAcentral describes it as "long non-coding RNA (NTAB_LNC014292)". Lineage: Eukaryota; Viridiplantae; Streptophyta; Magnoliopsida; Solanales; Solanaceae. The record is from RNAcentral.
GUGAAAUUAAACAAAAAGUAUGCACCAACAAUAUCAAAGUGAUGUAUAGUGAUAGCAACCAUUGACUAAAAAAUACCUUAUCACACGAUCCAUCGGAAACAAACUCUUUACCUUUUAGGCGAGAGUAAGGUUUACGUACACACUAUCCUCUCCAGACCCCACUUAUAAGAUUACACUGGGUUUAUUGUUGUUUUUGUACCGGGGGAAUAAAAACUAUUAAGACAAAACAGGACAAAACUUCCCUUAAGUGAAAUUUUUUUGUAAGAUGGGGUGACAAUACCGAAUGUAACAUCUCUCCUACCUGAUGAAUCAUCGGGACAUGCCUCUAGCAUCCAUCGCAUUUUCGAACGAACUCCUUUGCAUCUUUUUCCACCACCUCAAACUCCAUGUAUUUUAAAUUCAAUAGCAGGAAAAUAGAGAAAAAAGAAAAAAGGCUAGUGGAAGGGACUAUAAAAUGACAGAUGACAAGGAAAGAAACAACAAAAGAACUACGCAAUAUAUAGCUAAACAAUAAAGAUACCUGUAAAAGAACUAUAAUUAUAUAAAUCAAAACUAACAUUAAAGAAAAGACAACAACAAAAGCUUUAUUAAUAAAAGUAAGUAUAAAACUAAAGGAAAGAGAUAAUCGAGAGGGUUUGUACUAUGUAGAGAGCUUUUGUUGAAUAAAUUUUUAUAAAGCUUGACUUUUAAACUAUAAAAUUUGUCUAAGAAAUAAUUCUUAAUUAAGAAAUUACUUUUAAAAUCAGUUGUUUAUUCUUACAUAAAUUUUUAAGUUAUAAGAGUUAUUUAUCAAAAAACAAAAUUAGAUUAAAAAAGAGUCAAAUAAACCACACGGAUAGUUUUGUUUGCCAAAUAGUUUGGAGUAUUAUCACUUCUAGCCCGCGUCGGAAACUAUUUACAUAGGUAGCCGAAAAAGUAGAUAAAAUUUAUAUAUAACAUACAGAAUGUAUAUAUAUACAAAAAAUAUACAAAUUUUAUAUAUUUUUCGGCUAUUAUUUUUACAGUGGCUAUACAGUGUCAUUUUUCCAAAUAGUUUUGGGAAACAAAAUGGGCAAAUAAAAAUAUUUAAACAUGGAUCUGAUCCAUGAACAUCUCAAUUUGAACACCCAAGAUCCCUAGGCUACCUCACCCAACUGUAUUAAGGAUGUUCAAAAUAUAAUAUAUAAUUAUAUAGAGUAGUAUUUGACCUAUAUACGCAUUAUAAUUUUCCGGCAAAGGAUGUUCGCUUAGGAUCCGAAUUUGCUCCAGUAACACAUCCUCCAUUAUUUUUCAAUAGGGAUCUCUAGUUUGUUUGGUAUUGCAUUUCUAUAAGAAAUUUAUCAUCUUUCAAUCUUGUAGAGAGUUUGAUAAUAUUCAAGAAAAGAAAAUGUGUUCCACCAUAAGUUGAGAACCCACGCGGUGGGAUUCCUUCUGUUUAUGCUUCAAGUAAGCUAACAAUUUAGCAAUAAGGUACCACAAAUACAACAGCCGAUCCAAUCAGGACGAUGGGCUCUGCUGGUUAGAUUCCUCUCCAGGCAUCCCUGACAUUGAGUUGUUCCCAGGAAAGGAAAUAGAAGCAGCAACAUGGGGACUUAGCCCAGAGUAAGCUCCAUUAGCGCGUUCUUCAGAAAUGGGAGGGGCAGGAAUAGCAGCAAAAGCAGCUGCAUGCUCGAUCCACUGCUUCUCUCGAUUCUGCUCCAGCUGGUGACCGGCUGGAAAGCUACCAACAAUAACCUGAUGCACUCAAGAUGUUACAGAUUAGUUUUGCAAGCUCACUAACAUGGAUGCAUAUUGCGCACAAAAAAAAAGAGAGAUCAAUUAUGUUUUUUGUGUUGCAAUGCCAGUCAAUCAUCUCCACUGUCGUAAAUUCCAAAGAUCAUAAAUAGUCCCAAAACUGCUUGUUAGCCUAACAACUUGUUGGGAUAAGAAUAGCAAUGAGCUAAGAAAGCUGGGUAGUUCCAUUCUAACCUGAACGAGGCUAGCGGCUACCAACAAGCCUGCAAGUCCUCCUCCUAUAACCUGACCAUCAGGGUCUGAAAGAGAGACACUCAGUCCACCAGAUCUGCUUGUUGUUACUCCAUCAUCACUUGGCAUAAAUGAUCCCCUUAGAGAGAGAAUAUCAAAACGACCCUGAAGCAAAAUCAUAAUUUGGAUAAGAAGAAAUGCUAAUGAUGAACAUUCCAUCAUAGUUCUUGCUUUCAUUCCCAGUGGGAAAUAAGUAUUUCGAUUCAUAUAGUAGAAAAGAAAAUGGCAUUUCUUCCCUCAAGAGUUGAAGGUCCGUGCUUUAAAUUUACAAGUAAAAUGUAACUAUUACUUUUAAAAAAAUAUUCCAACGGCAAAAAUAGAACAUAGACAGAACAGGGUGCCUUGGCAAAACAACAAACAACAUAUUGAUUUUUUCCUUGUUUUAUUCAUUUGGUAUGUAUGUGGUGCAGUAGCCCCGUAAACUGAUUGAA